AUGAACGCUGGCGGCGUGCCUAAUCCAUGCAAGUCGCGCGAACAGACGAGGAGCUUGCUCCUCUGACGUUAGCGGCGGACGGGUGAGUAACACGUGGAUAACCUACCUAUAAGACUGGGAUAACUUCGGGAAACCGGAGCUAAUACCGGAUAAUAUAUUUAACCGCAUGGUUCAAUAGUGAAAGACGGUUUUGCUGUCACUUAUAGAUGGAUCCGCGCCGCAUUAGCUAGUUGGUAAGGUAACGGCUUACCAAGGCAACGAUGCGUAGCCGACCUGAGAGGGUGAUCGGCCACACUGGAACUGAGACACGGUCCAGACUCCUACGGGAGGCAGCAGUAGGGAAUCUUCCGCAAUGGGCGAAAGCCUGACGGAGCAACGCCGCGUGAGUGAUGAAGGUCUUCGGAUCGUAAAACUCUGUUAUUAGGGAAGAACAAAUGUGUAAGUAACUAUGCACGUCUUGACGGUACCUAAUCAGAAAGCCACGGCUAACUACGUG
This 496-nucleotide ribosomal RNA is filed under the name uncultured bacterium. RNAcentral describes it as "partial 16S ribosomal RNA". It matches the Rfam family "Bacterial small subunit ribosomal RNA", at positions 29 to 507 of the family's 1533-position model. The record is from RNAcentral.